UAUUUAUAUGAGAGUUUGAUCCUGGCUCAGGAUGAACGCUGGCGGCGUGCCUAAUACAUGCAAGUCGAACGAGUUUUGG
RNAcentral lists this ribosomal RNA (79 nucleotides) under Lactobacillus sp. chh01. Its description in RNAcentral is "partial 16S ribosomal RNA". It matches the Rfam family "Bacterial small subunit ribosomal RNA", at positions 1 to 76 of the family's 1533-position model. The record is from RNAcentral. Lineage: Bacteria; Bacillati; Bacillota; Bacilli; Lactobacillales; Lactobacillaceae.